This 550-nucleotide ribosomal RNA is filed under the name Nipaecoccus graminis. RNAcentral's name for it is "SSU rRNA". It matches the Rfam family "Eukaryotic small subunit ribosomal RNA", at positions 18 to 514 of the family's 1831-position model. The record is from RNAcentral. Lineage: Eukaryota; Metazoa; Arthropoda; Insecta; Hemiptera; Pseudococcidae.
CAGUAGUCAUAUGCUUGUCUCAAAGAUUAAGCCAUGCAUGUCUCAGUGCAAGCCGUCUAGUACGGUGAAACCGCGAAAGGCUCAUUAAAUCAGUUAUGGUUCCUUAGAUUGUACCCACGUUACUUGGAUAACUGUGGUAAUUCUAGAGCUAAUACAUGCCGACAGAGUUCCAACCAAACGCGCGGCUUCGGUCGUCGCGUUUAGGAAGGAACGCUUUUAUUAGAUCAAAACCGGCUAAGCGGCGGUUCGCCGCCGUUAGUGGCCUGCGCAAAGAUUUGGUGACUCUGAAUAACUUCGAGCUGAUCGCACGGUCUCGUACCGGCGACGUAUCUUUCAAAUGUCUGCCUUAUCAACUGUCGACGGUAGGUUCGACGCCUACCGUGGUGGUAACGGGUAACGGGGAAUCAGGGUUCGAUUCCGGAGAGGGAGCCUGAGAAACGGCUACCACAUCCAAGGAAGGCAGCAGGCGCGCAAAUUACCCACUCCCAGCUCGGGGAGGUAGUGACGAAAAAUAACGAUACGGGACUCAUUCGAGGCCCCGUAAUCGGAA